CAGCAGUCGCCGCGGUAAUACGAAGGGUGCAAGCGUUAAUCGGAAUUACUGGGCGUAAAGCGUGCGUAGGCGGUUUGUUAAGUCUGUUGUGAAAUCCCCGGGCUCAACCUGGGAAUGGCAAUGAAUACUGGCAAGCUAGAGUGUGUCAGAGGAUGGUGGAAUUCCCGGUGUAGCGGUGAAAUGCGUAGAGAUCGGGAGGAACAUCAGUGGCGAAGGCGGCCAUCUGGGACAACACUGACGCUGAGGCACGAAAGCGUGGGGAGCAAACAGGAUUAGAUACCCGGGUAGUCCCUGUCUCUUAUAC
RNAcentral lists this ribosomal RNA (304 nucleotides) under uncultured bacterium. RNAcentral's name for it is "partial 16S ribosomal RNA". It matches the Rfam family "Bacterial small subunit ribosomal RNA", at positions 509 to 807 of the family's 1533-position model. The record is from RNAcentral.